Molecule: ribosomal RNA, 2757 nt
Filed under: Triticum aestivum (bread wheat)
Lineage: Eukaryota; Viridiplantae; Streptophyta; Magnoliopsida; Poales; Poaceae
Description: partial small subunit ribosomal RNA
Source: RNAcentral
UCCUCCUCGCGGGGUUGCUGCGCCAGAGCCCACACCCGCCCAACCCUAGCCGCCACACCUCUCCUUCCUCCCUCGCUUGACACCAUAGGCGCUGCACCCCUCCCCUCCUCCUGCUCGGGCGGAUAGCCGCCGGCCGCCGCAUCCCUUCUCCCCCUUCCUCCUCCUUCCUCCUUCCCGCUGGCGCCCAUCGCCCUCGUCCUCGGACAAGGGGCCUUCCACAGGGAUGGCCAUGUCUUAAAACCAGGGGUAGAGGAGCAGGGGAGGGCCAAGAAGCCGGCACUGGGGGUGGAGGACCCAGGUGGUGGACGCGUCAUGGGGUUAAGGACAGGCCGAUGAUAGGGUUAAGUAGGAGGAGUGCCAUGGAUCUGCAGGGAAAGGAGGGCGACGCCCUCGGCGGGCGUCCGAGAAGGAAGCCGGCGGGGAGCACGUCACCGUAGGCGUCAAGGGAGCCAUGGACAAGCCGCCAGGAGGAGAAAGCUCCCAGUUUGUGGAGGAGACUAUGUGACAGGUGGUGUUUUGGAAUCUAGAUUGAUUUGGUACUGUAUGUUGUGUGAUGUGCCCUUGCCAAGAAUAUUUGAUGUGUGUGAUGACACAAGCAAUUGUAGAGGAGUGAACACCAUGCUCGAUUAGUGGACUGCCGCUUGAGAAGAAGCUUGUCAUUUGUCUCUUCGAGCCACGGAGGAUAGGGGCCUUCGAAGAACUUGGGGUUUGACAUAGCCAUCGAGGAAGUGCAGGAUACAAACCAAGUGUAAUCAAAGAGGAUAUGGAUUCAGUAUGGCCAUGAGGGAAGGAAUGUUACUCCAAUUUGGAUCUUGGAGAAUGCUUUCUCAGUGUGGUUCAGGUUAAAUUGUUGUCCUACUGUUCCUGCUCAGCCUCCUAAUGUUCUAUGUCUUGGCCGCGCCUUCUUCCAGCUUCUCUAUUGGUUUUCUCUUCACACCGAUGUAAGUGCAUAUUCCUCCCUUCCUCCAAAUCUUCUCCAGCCAUGGUUGUUUGCAUCUGGUCACAGUUGUUUCAUGUUUCACUUCCGUUGGUGGUUCACGCGUCGGCCUUAGUGCUCUAAGCAAACCAGCAUUUCUCAUCUUGGCGAUUGUAUUAUUGGGGCUUUGCUACAUCUGUAGGUUUGAAUCUCAUGUGGCUCUGCGCCCAGCCACCAUCUCCUCCCUAGCUAAGCAAGAGGUUCAAAGGCCACCGCUACCUCUUCCUUGCCGCCCAGCAGGAGGGGCACUAGGUGUGCCUCAUGUUUAGUUAAUGCCCACUGAUUGUGAUGUUCAUUCUAUGGGGAAUUUUGUUUACUUUUUAUAUUUUGUGCAUUUUCUAUUUCAUGUAUUGGUUAGUGGUCCUAAAUCCCAUGUGAUUUCUUCAUUAUUCAGGAAAAUUACAUAUCAGGAGAGCCAUUUAUUAGAGGAUCUUCUAAAAGGCUUUUUAUAUUUGGUUCCUCAUGUUCUGCUUCUCGGGGUUUGCUCACUUCCUUUCUAGCUAGAAAUACCAUAUUUUCCUCUCUACGUGUACUGUCUUGGUAUUUGGCUCGUUGCUCGUCUUAAUAUUCCGGAUUUAGCGGGGCAUCAUGUUUUGUUUAGCCUCAUGCUCCUAAGUGUAUCUCACAUUGUAUAGGAACCUGUCCUACGGGGACCUUGCCUUUUAUGCUUCUUCUUGAUAAUAGAAGUAUUGAAUAUACUUGUUUCUUCUGCUCAAACAUUUUGGCUAAGUGGCAAUAUUCCAAAUAAAUGGAUGUAUCUCAAACAAAGGAGAUGUCUGAUGCAGUGAGUCGAAGUCGCUUAAUCGAGGAGAAAUUAGGCUUGUGACGCAAUUAUAUGGUUAGCAGGAAAGUUUUAAACCUGAAAAAUCAGACGAAACUCUGGCAAUAUUACGUUCUAUAAAUGAUUUGGCAAUUGCAUUCAGUAUCAGGUUGUGUUCAUAAUUUUGUACUUGACAGUUGUAGCUUUGAACCUACAUAGUGUUGGCAGUUGCUUGAUGAAGCCAAACUUACAACUCGAUAUUUUUAAUUUAUGCUGCAACUUGAUUAGGAAUUUCCUAUGUUAAGUUGGAACCACACAAAUUCUUAUCACGUCAUGGCUUGCUUGGGAUUCAAUUGCAGGAAGAAACUGUAUUGAACUUGCUUAAUUUUUCUUCAGAAAUAGUAUUGAAUCGGCUACUUGUUGGCAAUUUCAUGUUACAAAGUCGUCAUUAAGCGAAGAGAUAGGGUAUUGAUUUGGCUAACUCACGAAACUAAACACUCAAUUCGAGAAAUUUCAUUGGGAAUUCAUAUCCGUAUGAUUGAUUUUGUAAUGGGGAAUGGUGAUUGCAGCAGGCAGGGGUCGACGAGGCAAAGGGGGAUGGAGAAGUGGUCGAGCUGGAGGCGUACAGGCAGGGCACCCAGAAGACGGAGCUGUGCAACAAGUGGGAGGGCGGCGCCUGCUCCUGCGGCGGCCGGUGCCGGUUCGCGCAUGGCCUGCAGGAUGAUGGUUUCUUAAUUUCGUUGACUAACCAGGGAGUUCAAGGAUGAUGACUGGAAGUUUUGUCAUUACUGGUUAACACUUGGCGACGAUGUGUCCAUCAGAAAUGAUCCGAUUAUCCUCUGUUGUAUUAUAUUUCCUACUUUUUUGUAAAUAUGUAUGGAUGUACAUGCAUGCUCUUUCGAUGUCUGAAAAUGACCAGCAUCCCUCGGUGGGCAAAGAUGAUUUUGUUGAACAGUUUUAGUAUAUGUUACAUACCAUAUUCUUUCCAAUGUAGAAGGUAGCAGCUGACUCUGCAUUGCCG